This 314-nucleotide non-coding RNA is filed under the name Dipodomys ordii (Ord's kangaroo rat). RNAcentral describes it as "Bacterial small subunit ribosomal RNA". It matches the Rfam family "Bacterial small subunit ribosomal RNA", at positions 1091 to 1533 of the family's 1533-position model. Lineage: Eukaryota; Metazoa; Chordata; Mammalia; Rodentia; Heteromyidae. The record is from Rfam by way of RNAcentral.
AGUAAGCCUAAUCAGUAUUACUAAAGAAGUUAGGUCAAGGUGUAGCCCAUGGAGUGGAGCGAAAUGGGCUACAUUUUCUAUUACUAGAACAUUACGAAACUCUACGUGAAAUCCGUAGAAUAAAGGAGGAUUUAGUAGUAAAUUAAAACUAGAGUGUUUAAUUGAAUAGAGCAAUGAAGCACGCACACACCGCCCGUCACCCUCCUCAAUUUCUCAACAAUUAAAAGUACAUAACACCUAAUUACAAAAGAUUGAGAGGAGACAAGUCGUAACAAGGUAAGUGUACUGGAAAGUGCACUUGGAAAAAUCAAAAU